AUUGAACGCUGGCGGCAGGCCUAACACAUGCAAGUCGAACGAGUGGCGGACGGGUGAGUAAUGUGUGGGAAAAUGCCCGAUGGCGGGGGAUAACUACUGGAAACGGUAGCUAAUACCGCAUAGCCUCGGAUGUGGCCAUGUGGGAUUAGCGAGUUGGUGGGGUAACGGGUCACCUAGGCGACGAUCCCGAGCUGGGCUGAGAGGAUGACAAGCCACACUGGAACUGAGACACGGUCCAGACUCCUACGGGCGGCAGCAGUGGGGAAUAUUGCGCAAUGGGCGCAAGCCUGAUGCAGCCAUGCCGCGUGUAUGAAGAAGGCCUUCGGGUUGUAUAGUACUUUCAGCUGUGAGGCGUUACCCGCAGAAGAAGCACCGGCUAACUCCGUGCCAGCAGCCGCGGUAAUUC
RNAcentral lists this ribosomal RNA (406 nucleotides) under uncultured bacterium. RNAcentral describes it as "partial 16S ribosomal RNA". It matches the Rfam family "Bacterial small subunit ribosomal RNA", at positions 30 to 526 of the family's 1533-position model. The record is from RNAcentral.